UCUUCUUUUCCUUUGAUAGCUAAGAUGCACAUGUAAAAUCACAUAAUUGGAUCCUUCGGAGCCUGGUAGAUUCAGUACCAAUUGUCGACUUAGCACUUACCAUGUGCUGCAUAAUUGUUUCAGAUUAGCAUCCUUGUAUAGCAGCAAAUCAACUAGGAGCCUCUCCUGAGAAGCAAAGAUGUAGAUUGUCCACCUCGAAGGUUAUAGUUGCUAAAGAAGCUACAUGAGAUUUAGAAUAUUUUAUCUCACAACUUUCACUUCAUCAGCCCAAUAAUGAAAGCAGAAGUAUGCAUUAAAUAUACAAAGGUCUCCACAAGGUUUGCAUAAGACGUACCUUGACUCUUUAUAUAGACAAAGCUCUGAGGGAUGAAGCGUUUGGGAGCCCGGAUGAAGAAUGCUUCUGAGGCGGAGAAAGAGAAGUGAUGAGAAUACUUCCAAACCGCUCUGAAUUUUUAUUUUGGCAAACUCGGACUCCUUGUUUGAUAAAAUACAUCUGAAGAGCAUUUUUGCGCACUGUUCAAAUAAACUCUUCAUUUU
Long non-coding RNA from Triticum urartu, 537 nucleotides. RefSeq lists it as uncharacterized. The record is from RefSeq and is a predicted model, not a curated record. Lineage: Eukaryota; Viridiplantae; Streptophyta; Magnoliopsida; Poales; Poaceae.